Molecule: non-coding RNA, 112 nt
Organism: Acanthosepion pharaonis
Lineage: Eukaryota; Metazoa; Mollusca; Cephalopoda; Sepiida; Sepiidae
Source: the annotation of a GenBank genome assembly
UUACAGCCAUAUCACGUUGAAAUACCGGUUCGCGUACUAUCACCAAAGUUAAGCAACGUCGAGCCUGGACAGUACCUAGAUGGGUGACCGCUUGGGAAUACCAAGUGCUGUA